Molecule: non-coding RNA, 3265 nt
Organism: Python bivittatus (Burmese python)
Lineage: Eukaryota; Metazoa; Chordata; Lepidosauria; Squamata; Pythonidae
Source: RefSeq, a predicted model, not a curated record
CCAGUGUCUUUUUCUCCAGCUAGAAAUUGAGCUGUGCCUUGUAGCAAUGAAAGAGUUUUACAUGUUCCCACCUUGUAACCAAUUUUAAAAAUUAUCAUUUUUAUGGGAUCUUGUUGUAAAUUCACAGAUUUUGUGCACACACCGGAACUCUAUACUUUUCUUCACAAGCACUGCAGAUCUACUUAGACAAAUGGGCAUAGGGAAUCUGUUAUUCUGAAAGAUGCUUCUCCAUUGGCAGAUGCACAUUGUUAUACAUUGUUAUAGCAAUAUAUUGUAUGUUAGUAUCACAGGUAUAACUGUCCACACUUUAAUGUUGCAUAUUUUAAAAACUCUGAAUUCAUAGGCACUCUUUCUAGGUUUGAGAAUCAAGGAAAGCAAUAACUUUUGUCAUAUAAUGGCAUUUAGAGGCCAUGCUUCAUACAUUGGGUGCUUCCCAGCACCUGAACUGUGUUUUCACAUUUCCUUCUAUACACUUGAUUUUCUGGCAUUAGUUGGGAAGAGGGGAACAGACUCUUCCAUUUCAGAGCACAUUUUAGGAUUAUAUCUGAACUUAGGUUUUAUUCUCAAGUGAGUAUAGCUUCUCAAGAUGUUGUUGUUUGCCAUUUUUGCAACUGUAUGUUAGUGCUUUGGAUUGGAUUCAAGCAGUGAUCAACCUCUGGUUAACAUUCCCCUCUUUCUCUCUCUCACACAACCUGACAUGGAAAUGAAUUGCAGGACUGGGAACAGAAUGAAACCAUUCCAGUAAUAGUAGACCUACUGUAACUUUUUUGUGUUGUUCAGUUCUCUGCUGAUGUGGGUAGCAGAGAUAAUUUUUCAGAACAAAUGAGCUGGGAGAAAGAGUUUGGUUUCCCAUCCCGCUUUAUGGUUGAGAUCCAGGUGGGCCACUAUGUACUUGCAAAUAAUUGCAAAAAAGGGUGGCAGAAUCACAAGUUCGGUUAAUCUUCUCCCGCUUACCCAGCCAUACAAAGGCAACGGACUCAACAGAUAGGGCAGAAUUUUAUGUAGCUUAUGAAUAGGUUGAUAUUAAGUUCAGCUUUAUUUGGCCAAGAUAUGCCAGCUUCUCCUCCUCCCCUUUUGUAGGAGGGAAAUGCAUAAAGCCUUUCAUGUGGCUAAAUAUUCAUGGUAUAUAACCUGCACAUAUUACUCAUAAAUAAUGAGAUAUGCAAGUAACUUAGCUUCUGACUAUAGAGGCAGACAGUAAAUUAUCCCCAACCUUCCCAAGCGGUGGAGAUGUUGCCAAAGUGUAGGGAAAAUAUCUUUGUGGUUCUUUGAGAACCUAUUUUAAGUUACAGCCCUUGAGCAGACAAGUCUUUGCUUCUAGGCAUUCUGUGUAACCAAGAAACAGAAAUAUAAGAAAUCUUAGAUUGAUGAAUCUUUGUAUAAAAGUGUUACUUCCCUUUUAUAUCUGGAAAAGUAAAGCAGAGAAAUAUGUCUGUUGAUUGUGAAUGCUUGCCCAGUGACCACCCGACCAGUUGUAAACAGUUACAAGUUCUAUUGAAGUUACUCUAGAACUUGCUGUAACAAUUUUAAUUUUAAUGUUAAAGAUAGGCAAGCUUUCUCAGUACCCAGCAUACUGUGACACUUCCUUCUGGAAAGAUGUCCUGAAAUCCUUUGUGGGCCAUAGUAAAUAAGACAAGAUAAGAAAAUUUCUGGGGUAUGCUGCUGAAGAUUUCUUCAGAUGUAGGGCACUUCUUGUGAUUAGCAAUUCCUUAUUUAUUCAAAAUUAUACAUGGCUGUAAGAAAGCUAUUGUGUUUCUCUUAUUCUUUUUAACAUCAUAAAAUAACUUGUUACUGUUUUAUAGCAACGUAUUAAGCUAUUAUUAUUAGCACCAUUAGGUUCUAGACAAAAUGUGGAUAGAACCCAGGUGACUCACUUGGGCUUCCACAGAAGUUGAUAGUGGGUUUGAGUACAUUACACAGAUACAGUGGAAGACUAAAGGAUCUUGGCAGCUAGCAUUUGCAUUUCCAAGUGGCUAGAUUGAUUUAAAUUUUACAUGCCCUACUUAGCUUCUGGAACUUGAAAUGAAAAGUCAUUUGAUUCUGUUCAUAUUCCUGAUGCCUGCCUGUAAACAGAGAUCUUUAAAAUGUGUUAUAAAGGUUUGGAUUUUUUCCCAUUUUCACUUUAGAUUGUGUGGAUUUUGGCUCCUCCUCUUCUAGCACUAAGCCACAUGAUAAGUAGACAUGAAUGGUUCCCUGGUCUGUAUUUGCUUGUUUAAUUGUCACUCCUCCCUGAAAUCCUCUUUUUCUUUGGAGUGUGUUAGGGUUAUAUGACUGGCACAGAAUGUGUUGUUUUGUCUUUGGUUUUAAAAGAUUUUAAAAGAUCUUAGCUUGACUUGGUUUUGGGAGUCCCUUCCUGUGAAUUACUCCUUUUGUAAAGUUUUGCUUUUUUUGCUACCCCAGUCCAAGUUUUAAGCCCCCCUUCAAAAAUACACAACACACAGAAUUAGAAGGGGACAUCAUAGUAGGCACCUUUCCACUUUCUCCCACUGCAUUCUAACAAAGUAAUAAUGUGCCUUGUACUUUUAUUUGUUUUAAUGUUUCUUCCCCCCUCUUCAAUUGAAAGGAUUCUGGUGCAGCCUAUAGGCCAGUUAAAAAAAAAAUAAAGAAGAAGAAGGUGGUCCUUGUUUUUAGCUAUGUCAAAAAAAAGGUAAAAAGAUGGAAGGGGAGGGAAAAAAACACUUAUAUUAUUAUUAAUUGCCAAUUUAUUCUAACCAGAUUCCAAAUAAAUAUAAUUUAAAAGGAGAAAACCAUGGAACUGAGGUGUGAAUAAAGAGGUCUUUUUUCUAGCUAAAUAAUGGGAUCAUUUCAAUGCAGCAUCAUAUAAUAUGGCAGUAUACUGGAAUAAAUUGUGGAAACAUGUAAAUAUAAGUGCAACCCUUUUGAAUCUUACUCCUACAAAUGAGACUGUAUCUCACACCUUGUUGGGAUAUCAUUUUUGCUCCUGGAAACAGUGUUUCUAUUUUGUCUCACUGAAAUAGGACAACCGUACAAGAAAAGGAAAGUGUCUAUUGCAGAGCGAUUGGAAUCCUUAAUAUGCAAAGUGGGAGAAAAGAGUUCUUUCUCUUUGGAAAGUAGAAUAGAAGGUUUGGCUGGAGUUUUGGAGGCAGAUCUACCAAACUACAAAAGCAAAAUACUGAGACUCCUUUGUACAGUUGCACGUCUGUUACCACAGAAGAUGACCAUUUACACAACUCUUGUUGGCUUGCUGAAUGCCAGGAACUACAAUUUUGGUGGAGAGUUUGUAGAAGCAAUGAUACGUCAGCUG